This is an RNA transcript of Arachis stenosperma, 2626 nucleotides long. RefSeq lists it as uncharacterized. NCBI's taxonomy places the organism in Eukaryota, Viridiplantae, Streptophyta, Magnoliopsida, Fabales, Fabaceae. The record is from RefSeq and is a predicted model, not a curated record. The transcript has 4 exons.
ACACAUACAGAAAAGGAAACAGAAGGAAAAUGGGAAAAGAAAGAAAGGAAAAAGAGAGAAGGGGGAAUCGGGGAAGAGGAAGGGAAGGAAAGGGAGAAGAGCGUGCCGUCACUGCACCCUGCCCGCCUGCCGCCACCGUUCCAUGGAGCCGCCGCCAUUGUCGCGCGAACCGGAGGGUGUGGAGAUGGAGAAGAGUGUGCGCGAGAGAGGAGUAGACACCAUCGUUGAGGACUCCAUCACCGCCGCUGAAGGUCUUGACCGUCGAGCUUGUCGUCGCCGUCGCACCUCCCAUCACUGCUGCCACUAAAGAGCUCGAAGAGAAAGAAAGGGUUCGCACGGAGAGAGAAACACGAUGAGAGAGGAGGAGGUUGCCUCUGUUGCUGCCAAGCCGUCGCUGGCGGGGUUGGGUUCGCCGUCGCUGUUGAGCUGUGCGCCGCCGUUAGUAUUUGGAUCGCCACUCUGUUUCAGCUGCAGCUCGCCACUGUACUGGUGAGCUUUACCCUGUUUCUGAUAUCUCUUUGCUCGCCUAAGUUAUCCCGUUGUUGCUGUGAGGGUUAUUGUUAAAGUGUUUAUGUUAACUGAAGCUGUUUCUGUGAGUUACUUUGCUGUCGCCUAAUAUUGAUUUUAAUGUUGAUUUGGUAUAAUGUUGUUCUGAUGUUGAUUUGGUAACUGGUAAUUUGGAAAUGCUGUCGUGAUUUUAUUUUGAUUUUAAUAUUGAUUUAGUAUGUAACUGGUUCUCUGGCAAUGCUGCUUUGAUUUUGUUUUGAUUUUAAUAUUAAAUUGUUAUAAUACUGUUAUGAUUUUGAUUUGCUAACUAGAUCUCUGAAAGAACUUAUAAGUGGUAUCGAAUUAACCAUGAAAAUUUUGUAGCCAUUAGACAUGGAUGUACGUAUAGAUCUCUUAGUUAAAGCUUACUUGUGUAUAUAAGGUAAGAUUGGGCUUUCUCAACCCAAGUGCUGCAUAUAGGAUUGCAUUAACUUUAAUACUUUCUAGCAUUUGUGUAGUUUUGAUUAAAUUAUCAAAGUUUGGUAUUUGCUUUACUCUGAUUGCUUUCUUGUAUUCUUGAUUAUUUUGUAAAGAUUCUUGAAAUGGACACCUAUAGAUACCACGGGCACUCUAUGUCUGAUCCUGGCAGCACAUACCGUACAUGUGACGAGAUUUCCAAUGAGAGACAAGACAUUGAUGAAAGAGUAUGAAAGGGCUGCGCUUCAUCUUGAUAAAGUUAAGCUGGUUUGUAGUUUACUCUUAAAAGCUUUUUACUGCUGUUUGAAACCAAAUGCACAAUUCUUUUUAAGGAUAUCAUUUAGCUUUUUCUAGUUAUUUGAUUUUAGCUUAACUGAUUACAAAGGAAUUACUUUGAGAAUUUUUUGACUGUGCUAUUGUUUCAAACUUCAAAUUAGAGCAGGUAUUGUUAUGAUACUUCCAAGUACAUAGUAAAGGUUAUAAAUUAGAAACAUUUACUUGAUAAUUUAAUAGUCAAUCAUGUUAAAUCUUUCAUGUAGAUAUAUGGCAUUUUGAUAUGGAUUUGCGUGUACUGAUAGGUCUUACAGAGAUUAAUUGAUGUUCAAAAAGCAAAGGCCUGUGCAUCAAAAGAUGACCCUUUGGAGUUAUGCUCACCUGUGACAAAAGUUACUCUUGUAGCUGAGGUGAUGCUUUCUCUGCUCUAGUCAAAUGUUGAUGGCUACAUGAAAAUAAGAUACAUGAAUAUAGCAUGUUAACAAAAAAAUCCAGUUAUUUUAUCCCCAAAAACAAAAUGCAGUUGGUAUUGAUGGUUCACUUUAUUUUAUUUUGGAUAUUUUAUACAUUUCCUACCAUUAUGAUUUGCAACUUGGUCUGUGCGAUGGUUCGCUUUAGUUUGCCUAUGUCUUUGGUAUGAACUACAGUGGCUAUAGAAUUCCUAUGUACCUAAUCAUCUUGAUGUGAUAUUAAAACCAUUAUGUACUCCCAAGUCUCCAACAUCUCUUUCAAUUCAUGGAAACAGGGUUGGGUUAGGUUAGGUAUGUUAAAUCCUGUCAUUUGCAAUUGAGAACAAAACAGGUAGACCUUGUUUGUCAUUAGUUACUUUGUUGAUUGAUUUUUUCUCUUUAAUGAGAUUUUGUUCUAAGCAAUGUUUGGAGAAAAUAGUUAUGUGUCGUCAUUGGUUACUGCUCUGUAAUCCAUUGCUGUUCCGUGCUCUCCUCUCCACUUGCGUCCGCUACGAUGCCCCCCACUUGGUCUGCUGAGGUUUGGUUACGGGACAAAAUUUGUUUGAUGACUUGGCUGAGGACAUUCUCAGUGGCAGCAGACUUGGAAACAAAUUCUGCGACUCUUCUAAGAGCCAAGUCCUUAGGAGUUCCUCAAUAGAUAAAGAGAGAGCAAACGAUGUUGCUGAAGAUCAAAGUUGUGUUACAUGUUGAUUGAGAAUGCUACUUGCUGCAGCAGGUUCUUAGUCGGUAAUGGCUUAGCUAGUGUCAACGUGUAUAGAUUUUAAACUUUUAAGUUUUUUGAGUGUGCAAACAAUGAAUUAAUUGAUUCUAAUUUGGAUUUGAAUUUAGUUUGGUGCAUUUUAAGUUGUAAAAUGAUGCAAAGCAAUGAAUAUUACUUUUCUUUAUUAUGUAUAUUUUUCUUUAAUCAAACUUCAGUGACA